CAUCAAGGUGAACACAGCAGUAAGUCAUCAAGGUGAACACAGCAGUAAGUCAUCAAGGUGAACACAGCAGUAAGUCAUCAAGGUGAACACAGCAGUAAGUCAUCAAGGUGAACACAGCAGUAAGUCAUCAAGGUGAACACAGCAGUAAGUCAUCAAGGUGAACACAGCAGUAAGUCAUCAAGGUGAACACAGCAGUAAGUCAUCAAGGUGAACACAGCAGUAAGUCAUCAAGGUGAACACAGCAGUAAGUCAUCAAGGUGAACACAGCAGUAAGUCAUCAAGGUGAACACAGCAGUAAGUCAUCAAGGUGAACACAGCAGUAAGUCAUCAAGGUGAACACAGCAGUAAGUCAUCAAGGUGAACACAGCAGUAAGUCAUCAAGGUGAACACAGCAGUAAGUCAUCAAGGUGAACACAGCAGUAAGUCAUCAAGGUGAACACAGCAGUAAGUCAUCAAGGUGAACACAGCAGUAAGUCAUCAAGGUGAACACAGCAGUAAGUCAUCAAGGUGAACACAGCAGUAAGUCAUCAAGGUGAACACAGCAGUAAGUCAUCAAGGUGAACACAGCAGUAAGUCAUCAAGGUGAACACAGCAGUAAGUCAUCAAGGUGAACACAGCAGUAAGUCAUCAAGGUGAACACAGCAGUAAGUCAUCAAGGUGAACACAGCAGUAAGUCAUCAAGGUGAACACAGCAGUAAGUCAUCAAGGUGAACACAGCAGUAAGUCAUCAAGGUGAAUACAGCAGUAAGUCAUCAAGGUGAACACAGCAGUAAGUCAUCAAGGUGAAUACAGCAGUAAGUCAUCAAGGUGAAUACAGCAGUAAGUCAUCAAGGUGAACACAGCAGUAAGUCAUCAAGGUGAACACAGCAGUAAGUCAUCAAGGUGAACACAGCAGUAAGUCAUCAAGGUGAACACAGCAGUAAGUCAUCAAGGUGAACACAGCAGUAAGUCAUCAAGGUGAACACAGCAGUAAGUCAUCAAGGUGAAUACAGCAGUAAGUCAUCAAGGUGAACACAGCAGUAAGUCAUCAAGGUGAAUACAGCAGUAAGUCAUCAAGGUGAACACAGCAGUAAGUCAUCAAGGUGAAUACAGCAGUAAGUCAUCAAGGUGAAUACAGCAGUAAGUCAUCAAGGUGAACACAGCAGUAAGUCAUCAAGGUGAAUACAGCAGUAAGUCAUCAAGGUGAACACAGCAGUAAGUCAUCAAGGUGAACACAGCAGUAAGUCAUCAAGGUGAACACAGCAGUAAGUCAUCAAGGUGAACACAGCAGUAAGUCAUCAAGGUGAAUACAGCAGUAAGUCAUCAAGGUGAAUACAGCAGUAAGUCAUCAAGGUGAAUACAGCAGUAAGUCAUCAAGGUGAACACAGCAGUAAGUCAUCAAGGUGAAUACAGCAGUAAGUCAUCAAGGUGAACACAGCAGUAAGUCAUCAAGGUGAACACAGCAGUAAGUCAUCAAGGUGAACACAGCAGUAAGUCAUCAAGGUGAAUACAGUAUCAUCAGGUUCCUCUAAGUAUCAGACAGUAAUAUGGUAAUGGGAUCUCUAUGGAUAUGGUUGUAGUUGUGCUGUAAGGCUCAUCACAGCAAGGUGGAGAAGUGACUGAACUGGUCUGAUCCACUGGCCAUCACUG
This is a long non-coding RNA of Oncorhynchus keta (chum salmon), 1629 nucleotides long. RefSeq lists it as uncharacterized. The transcript is spliced from 3 exons. The record is from RefSeq and is a predicted model, not a curated record. NCBI's taxonomy places the organism in Eukaryota, Metazoa, Chordata, Actinopteri, Salmoniformes, Salmonidae.